CUCGCCAUAGCUCAGUUGGUAGAGCGAGGGACUGUAGAUCCCCAGGUCACUGGUUCGAUUCCGGUUGACGAGA
Non-coding RNA from Cymbomonas tetramitiformis, 73 nucleotides. NCBI's taxonomy places the organism in Eukaryota, Viridiplantae, Chlorophyta, Pyramimonadophyceae, Pyramimonadales, Pyramimonadaceae. The record is from the annotation of a GenBank genome assembly.